Molecule: non-coding RNA, 112 nt
Organism: Acanthosepion pharaonis
Lineage: Eukaryota; Metazoa; Mollusca; Cephalopoda; Sepiida; Sepiidae
Source: the annotation of a GenBank genome assembly
UUACGGCCACAUCACGUUGAAACACCGGCUCUCGUACGAUCUCCUAAGUUAAGCAACGUCGUUGCUUUCAGUACCUAGAUGGGUUACCGCUUGGGAAUAUUAGCUGCUGUAA